GUAAUUCUAAAAGGGACUACAAGAUGAAAAACAAUAGUUUUGCCAGUUAAAGUUUGAGAUUCGAUGGUGCCGUAGAUCCGUUUGGUCAUCAGGUGUUACGAGCCACACCCAUGUCUAGCUAGAAUAGUGUGUCAGGCUCAGGCUAGAGAAGAAACAGGGUACAAACUGAUGAAAGAAUUAUCAUACCGAGGGAAUUCACUCAGAACUAACAAGAAUGAUAACGUGCUCCGACUGGAGCGGUUUAGGAACUGCUGGAAACCUCUAGGGGAAUAAAGAUGGAAUGACUUCUAAUUUUUAGGUCCGUAUGGUUUGAAAUACUUGCACACAAACCGCCCGAAAGCAUUCCUAGAAAUCUCGGCCCAAAAAAUGACGUUUAGUAAUUCUAAAUGGGAAUACAAGAUGAAAAACAAUAGUUUUGGCAGUUAAAGUUUGAGAUUCGAUGGUGUCGUAGAUCCAUUUGGUCAUCAGGUGUUACGAGCCACACCCAUGUCUAGCUAGAAUAGUGUGUCAGGCUCAGGCUAGAGAAGAAACGGGGAACAAACUGAUGAAAGAAUUAUCAUAACGAGGGAAUUCACUCAGAACUAACAAGAAUGAUAACGUGCUCCGACUGGAGCGGUUUAGGAACUUCUGGAAGCCUCUAGGGGAAUAAAGAUGGAAUGACUUCUAAUUUUUAGGUCCGUACGAUUUGAAAUACUUGCACACAAACCCCAAGAAAGCGUUUCUGGAAAUCUCGGCCCAAAAAAGGACGUUUAGUAAUUCUAAAAGGGACUACAGGAUGAAAAACAAUAGUUUUGCCAGUUAAAGUUUGAGAUUCGAUGGUGCCGUAGAUCCGUUUGGUCAUCAGGUGUUACGAGCCACACCCAUGUCUAGCUAGAAUAGUGUGUCAGGCUCAGGCUAGAGAAGAAACAGGGUACAAACUGAUGAAAGAAUUAUCAUACCGAGGGAAUUCACUCAGAACUAACAAGAAUGAUAACGUGCUCCGACUGGAGCAGUUUAGGAACGGCUUGAAGGCUCUAGGGGAAUAAAGAUGGAAUGACUUCUAAUUUUUAGGUCCGUAUGAUUUGAAAUACUUGCACACAAACCCCGAGAAAGCGUUCCUGGAAAUCUCGGCCCAAAAAGGACGUUUAGUAAUUCUAAAAGGGACUACAAGAUGAAAAACAAUAGUUUUGGCAGUUAAAGUUUGAGAAUCGAUGGUGCCGUAGAUCCGUUUGGUCAUCAGGUGUUACGAGCACACCCAUGUCUAGCUUGAAUAGUGUGUCAGGCUCAGUCUAGAGAAGAAACGGGGAACAAACUGAUGAAAGAAUUAUCAUACCGAGGGAAUUCACUCAGAAUUAACAAGAAUGAUAACGUGCUCCGACUUGAGCGGUUUAGGAACAGCUGGAAGGCUCUAGGGGAAUAAAGAUGGAAUGACUUCUAAUUUUUAGGUCCGUAUGAUCUGAAAUACUUGCACAAAAACCUCGAGAAAGCGUUCCUGGAAAUCUUGGCCCAAAAAAGGACGUUUAGUAAUUCUAAAAGGGACUACAAGAUGAAAAAUAAUAGUUUUGCCAGUUAAAGUUUGAGAUUCGAUGGUGUCGUAGAUCCGUUUGGUCAUCAGGUGUUACGAGCCACACCCAUGUCUAGCUAGAAUAGUGUGUCAGGCUCAGGCUGGAGAAGAAACAGGGUACAAACUGAUGAAAGAAUUAUCAUACUGAGGGAAUUCACUCAGAACUAACAAGAAUGAUAACGUGCUCCGACUGGAGCGGUUUAGGAACUGCUGGAAAGGUCUAGGGGAAUAAAGAUGGAAUGACUUCUAAUUUUUAGGUCCGUAUGGUUUGAAAUACUUGCACACAAACCGCACGAAAGCAUUCCUAGAAAUCUCGGCCCAAAAAAUGACGUUUAGUAAUUCUAAAUGGGACUAUAGGAUGAAAAACAAUAGUUUUGGCAGUUAAAGUUUGAGAUUCGAUGGUGCCGUAGAUCCGUUUGGUCAUCAGGUGUUACGAGCCACACCCAUGUCUAGCUAGAAUAGUGUGUCAGGCUCAGGCUAGAGAAGAAACGGGGAACAAACUGAUGAAAGAAUUAUCAUAACGAGGGAAUUCACUCAGAACUAACAAGAAUGAUAACGUGCUCCGACUGGAGCGGUUUAGGAACUGCUGGAAGGCUCUAGGGGAAUAAAGAUGGAAUGACUUCUAAUU
Molecule: long non-coding RNA, 2171 nt
Filed under: Triticum aestivum (bread wheat)
Lineage: Eukaryota; Viridiplantae; Streptophyta; Magnoliopsida; Poales; Poaceae
Description: long non-coding RNA (TAES_LNC017171)
Source: RNAcentral